RNAcentral lists this ribosomal RNA (517 nucleotides) under uncultured bacterium. RNAcentral's name for it is "partial 16S ribosomal RNA". It matches the Rfam family "Bacterial small subunit ribosomal RNA", at positions 29 to 523 of the family's 1533-position model. The record is from RNAcentral.
AACGAACGCUGGCGGCGUGGAUAAGACAUGCAAGUCGAACGGGAUUUUUUUCUGUAGCAAUACAGAGAAAAGUCUAGUGGCGAACGGGUGCGUAACACGUGAGCAACCUGCCGUGAAGUGGGGGAUAGCUCGCCGAACGGCGAAUUAAUACCGCAUGUGGCCAAGGAAGACAUCUUCCUGACGCCAAGGCCGGGGCAACCUGGCGCUUCUCGAGGGGCCCGCGGCCUAUCAGCUUGUUGGUGAGGUAACGGCUCACCAAGGCUAUGACGGGUAGCUGGUCUGAGAGGACGACCAGCCACACUGGAACUGAGACACGGUCCAGACACCUACGGGUGGCAGCAGUCGAGAAUUUUUCACAAUGGGGGAAACCCUGAUGGAGCGACGCCGCGUGGAGGAUGAAGGUUUUCGGAUUGUAAACUCCUGUCAUUAGAGAACAAGGCACACGGUUUAACUGGCCGUGUGUUGAUAGUAUCUGAAGAGGAAGAGACGGCUAACUCUGUGCCAGCCGCCGCAGUAA